CUACGGGUCGCAGCAGGCGAGAAAACUUUGCAAUGUGCGAAAGCACGACAAGGUUAAUCCGAGUGGUUUGUGCUAAACGAACCUUUUGACAGUCCUAGAAACACUGUUGAAUAAGGGGUGGGCAAGUUCUGGUGUCAGCCGCCGCGGUAAAACCAGCACCUCAAGUGGUCAGGAUGAUUAUUGGGCCUAAAGCAUCCGUAGCCGGCUCUGUAAGUUUUCGGUUAAAUCUGUACGCUCAACGUACAGGCUGCCGGGAAUACUGCAGAGCUAGGGAGUGGGAGAGGUAGACGGUACUCGGUAGGAAGGGGUAAAAUCCUUUGAUCUAUUGAUGACCACCUGUGGCGAAGGCGGUCUACCAGAACACGUCCGACGGUGAGGGAUGAAAGCUGGGGGAGCAAACCGGAUUAGAUACCCUUGUAGUC
RNAcentral lists this ribosomal RNA (422 nucleotides) under uncultured archaeon. RNAcentral's name for it is "partial 16S ribosomal RNA". It matches the Rfam family "Archaeal small subunit ribosomal RNA", at positions 323 to 746 of the family's 1478-position model. The record is from RNAcentral.